This 205-nucleotide long non-coding RNA is filed under the name Nicotiana benthamiana. RNAcentral describes it as "long non-coding RNA (NBEN_LNC003160)". Lineage: Eukaryota; Viridiplantae; Streptophyta; Magnoliopsida; Solanales; Solanaceae. The record is from RNAcentral.
UAAUUUCUUCACAUCAUCAGGUUCUUUCUUAAACUUCUCGCUAAACCCAGCUAACACCAUCAUUUGCACAAUUGUUCACGGUGAUUCCCUUUGCUCCUUCUUUAGUCUUCCUUUCCUUUCUGUUUAUUGGCCCUUUCUUUCCCUUCAAAGACAUAACAAUUCAAGGCCUCUAAAUUGGUUAAAAGAACUAGAUCACUCCCCAAUG